CAAUAACCAACUUAAUAGACAUUAACCUAUCAUUCACUCGCCUAACCUCAACCACGGACUACCUUAUAUCCCUAUCCACCAAGAUGCCCACUCCAUUCUUACCUCUCACGAUCCCAGAAUACCACAGCUUAAACCCGUCGACAUUCCUCGCCUUCGACCCUUUCCACUUAGUCUCCUGGACACAGGCUAUGUUAACCCUCCACUUCUGAAGAACCUUCGCCAACUCAAU
This 229-nucleotide long non-coding RNA is filed under the name Nicotiana benthamiana. RNAcentral describes it as "long non-coding RNA (NBEN_LNC000941)". The record is from RNAcentral. Lineage: Eukaryota; Viridiplantae; Streptophyta; Magnoliopsida; Solanales; Solanaceae.